This 1784-nucleotide long non-coding RNA is filed under the name Prunus persica (peach). RNAcentral's name for it is "long non-coding RNA (PPER_LNC002901)". The record is from RNAcentral. Lineage: Eukaryota; Viridiplantae; Streptophyta; Magnoliopsida; Rosales; Rosaceae.
GAAGCGAGUGAAUGAGUGGGUGAUAGAAUUCAACUCCAAAGUACAAAAGCUAGUUGCAUCUCUCAACAGGCGCCUCCCAAAAGCAAAACUCGCAUUUGCAGAUACAUAUGGAGAUGUUUUCGACUUGAUCAACAACCCUGCUGCAUAUGGUAAAUUAAACUGAAAUAUUCAAUGGUAGAUUAAUUACAGAAAAAAUUAAUUUACAACAAACACAAAUUGAUCCAUUGUCUUUCAGGUUUCAAGGUCUCUAAUACAUCGUGUUGCAAUGUGGACACAUCACUCGGAGGGCUAUGCUUGCCUAAUUCAAAAAUGUGUACAAACCGGAAUGACUAUGUAUUCUGGGAUGCAUUCCACCCUUCGGAUGCAGCAAACGCAGUUCUUGCUGAGAAACUCUUCUCGAGACUAUUUCCUCAGCCACCUUCCCUUGCACCGGCACCUUCACACUGAUUAGCAUCCGUCAUGCUAAAGCAUAUAUUGCUAGUAGUAUAGACCUCAGUAAGGCAAUAAUGUACCAAGGGAUUCACACUAACUCAGAGUUUCUAAAUCGGCACACUAAUGCAAAAAGGCAUCUGUUUGCCCAAAAUCAUGUCCACCCUGUUCAUGUUGGUUAUACAAUUAUGGUUCUUUAUAGGUCCAAAUUAACAAUGCUGAAUAUCUUAUUCUAAAUCUCUUCUCGGUGGGAAAAAAAAAGUAAUUUAUUUACAGAAAACAAUUAGUAUAAACUUUCUUUAACAGAGGGAAAAGACACAAUACAAAUAACUAUACCAAAUAUCAUACGGCAAUCGCAACGAAUUCUGGUAAUGAACUGAAACUCGAAAUCACAAAUCACAUUUGUUUUAAACUGAGAAUUUGGGAUCAGACUGACGUGCAAAACAUAACUCAGCAUAGCAGAAGCCUAUGAGACAGUUUAAUCAUCAUUCCCCAAAAUCCAUGCCAAACAUAAAAUCCAAAGUACAUUAUGAGACAAUUGAAUAACUCAUCCAAAUGUAAAACAAUUUAAAACCUUCAUGAUAAAAUUCAGGGCAAAAAACCCAAAAGAAAAAUCCCAACAACAAAAAUUAGCAUAGAAAUGGUGAUUGGUUGCUCUCAGUCAAGGGCCAAAGUUUUCCACAUAAGAGAACAUAAAAAGAGUUGGGUAUAACCAUCUCAAGAUUUAAGCCAAGAGAAUAACAGAAGGGCUUCAAAUGCUUGGCAAAGCCUUCUUCUCUUCCCUAAAAGAAAGAGUCAGAUAAAAAAAAUAUAUCAACCACCACUCUUAGACAAAAGAGUCAUUAGGCAAUACCAAGCACAGGAAGCACCGCCAUUGAUCUACCUGACUUAAUUCAGAAGAGGGCAAAUCCAACCCUUCAAUUCUCAGUUCGGUGUGGUUAAAGCAAAGGAAAUCAUCAUCGAGCAAAAAAGUGGUAGGUGGGUGUUUGGGAGAUGAGAAAAUUGUGGCACUUACGAGAAAAGGUCAGAACCCAAUAGAGUAUGAGAGCCUGCCAGUCCAGAAGAACCAAUCCUUUCGGAUUUGAUUUCGCAUCGCUUCGUAGUCUCUAGGCUACAAAGAAGAGCAGAGAGGUUCAUAGUAGAUGCCUUCUGCAAAUCCUAAAAAUCAAAUAUAAACAAUACGACUCUUUAGAUUUUAUAAAAUGAAACUUUUGAAAAAGAAGAUUUGCAAAGAGAUGAAAGACGUUGAGCAGCUGCAGAGUUGUUUGUGGUUGAUUUUAUAUAGAAGCAGAAAUUAGGGUUUGUGGGUGCAUUUCUUCAAUUGUCCGCGAUGUUCAUUAGAAUUACAAAAUCAC